UAACUGGUGAAGGGCUUAUUAUUAGCCCGCA
Molecule: small RNA, 31 nt
Filed under: Bombyx mori (domestic silkworm)
Lineage: Eukaryota; Metazoa; Arthropoda; Insecta; Lepidoptera; Bombycidae
Description: ovarian small RNA-19035
Source: RNAcentral